GCCGCUGUGGUGGAAUGGCAUACACAAGGGUCUUAAACACCCUCGGAGUAAAAUCCUUGCGAGUUCAAAUCUCGUUAGCGGCACCA
RNAcentral lists this transfer RNA (86 nucleotides) under Ruminococcus sp. Its description in RNAcentral is "tRNA-Leu". It matches the Rfam family "tRNA". From Rfam's summary of the family: Transfer RNA (tRNA) molecules are approximately 80 nucleotides in length. Their secondary structure includes four short double-helical elements and three loops (D, anti-codon, and T loops). RNAcentral also lists the same sequence under 1 other name. The record is from RNAcentral. Lineage: Bacteria; Bacillati; Bacillota; Clostridia; Eubacteriales; Oscillospiraceae.